Molecule: ribosomal RNA, 409 nt
Filed under: Salmonella enterica
Lineage: Bacteria; Pseudomonadati; Pseudomonadota; Gammaproteobacteria; Enterobacterales; Enterobacteriaceae
Also listed under: 3 other names
Description: bacterial SSU rRNA
Rfam family: Bacterial small subunit ribosomal RNA
Source: RNAcentral
AACCUGGGAACUGCAUUCGAAACUGGCAGGCUUGAGUCUUGUAGAGGGGGGUAGAAUUCCAGGUGUAGCGGUGAAAUGCGUAGAGAUCUGGAGGAAUACCGGUGGCGAAGGCGGCCCCCUGGACAAAGACUGACGCUCAGGUGCGAAAGCGUGGGGAGCAAACAGGAUUAGAUACCCUGGUAGUCCACGCCGUAAACGAUGUCUACUUGGAGGUUGUGCCCUUGAGGCGUGGCUUCCGGAGCUAACGCGUUAAGUAGACCGCCUGGGGAGUACGGCCGCAAGGUUAAAACUCAAAUGAAUUGACGGGGGCCCGCACAAGCGGUGGAGCAUGUGGUUUAAUUCGAUGCAACGCGAAGAACCUUACCUGGUCUUGACAUCCACAGAAGAAUCCAGAGAUGGAUUUGUGCCU